Molecule: long non-coding RNA, 413 nt
Filed under: Hordeum vulgare
Lineage: Eukaryota; Viridiplantae; Streptophyta; Magnoliopsida; Poales; Poaceae
Description: long non-coding RNA (HVUL_LNC004879)
Source: RNAcentral
AGCACUCCUCUCUCGCGUGCGCAGCAAGCCCCUCUCUCUCUCGCGCGCAGCAUCCCCUCUCUCUCAGUGCACGCGAACCCUAGCAGUCGCCUCCCACCGCGACUCCCUCUCCCCUCGCAGCCGGUCUGCACCCUCCUUCUCCCCCACUCGAUGCAGAUCCAUUGCAGACUCCUCCCACUGUGGCUUCUGGGUGCUCUCCGGCCCGCCCAUGGCUUCCCUGGCGACGAGAUCCGACCUCCGCUCCCUGGCGGUCGUGCAAGAUCUGAGGCCCGCGUCGCGUGGACGAGAAGGGAACCCCAGUCCCCACGAGAUCCGUCAGGUGCCCUCCUCCCCGCCGACGGGGAUGGUGCGGCCGGCGGGCCUCCUCGACCCGACGACGAGGCAGCGUCCGUUCCUCGACCCGCGCGCCUCAC